Long non-coding RNA from Micropterus salmoides (largemouth bass), 782 nucleotides. RefSeq lists it as uncharacterized. The transcript is spliced from 5 exons. The record is from RefSeq and is a predicted model, not a curated record. Lineage: Eukaryota; Metazoa; Chordata; Actinopteri; Centrarchiformes; Centrarchidae.
AAUCUGACCCCUGAACAGUUCAAACACAAGCCGCUUACACACACAGAUCCAGCAAUAAACGCGGAAAGAAUGUCCGCAACAGUGGACGUAACCCUGCAACAGUGUGUGCUUUCACACAGCGAUCCAGCUUUCCAGGUUAGACCGUGAAAAGAAAAGAAAACGUGACUUGUAACAGUGUUGAAACGCCACACCUGUUCCGCCAUGCCGGUGUGGCUUUUCACUACUUUCUCUAUCUAUUUACUAACAGCUGUGUUUUUUUAAAUUAAUUCUGGGAUGAUUGCUGUGUCAGUCUGAAUUCCAGGAUCCGGGUUGAGUUGUGUCCUCCCUGAUGGAGAAGAUGAGUCUGUUAGUAUUUUUAUUAUGAUUAACUGUGUUUGCAGAUUUACAUCCUGCAGCUGCAGCACCAGCAGUGGUGGAGUCUACGUGAUACGCAGGGAUACGAUGACACGAACGUUAAGGUUACUGAAACUACAGAAAACGAGCCGGAUGAGGUGAUGCUGUCGUAACGUUACCUGCAGGCGCUGCUCACCCGCCUGAUCGUCACACUGAACCUUUUCAGAAUCUGAACCAGAAUCAGCUUUAUUUGCCAGAACUACCAGCGUCAGCAUCACUACAACAACCCAGCAGCGACCCACCUCCAUCCACUGCCCGUGGGACUUCAUCUUGAGGACCACGCAGGGGUCGGGUUUGGACAGAGCAUCGCGGUCCGAGAUCCCCUUGCAGCAAACGUGUGUUGCAUGGAACUAUUUCACUCGAGUGUUUCACUGAAAAAAGAAAGUGUG